This 600-nucleotide ribosomal RNA is filed under the name Bacillus sp. XY-1. RNAcentral describes it as "bacterial SSU rRNA". It matches the Rfam family "Bacterial small subunit ribosomal RNA", at positions 127 to 711 of the family's 1533-position model. The record is from RNAcentral. Lineage: Bacteria; Bacillati; Bacillota; Bacilli; Caryophanales; Bacillaceae.
UGCCUGUAAGACUGGGAUAACUCCGGGAAACCGGGGCUAAUACCGGAUGCUUGAUUGAACCGCAUGGUUCAAUCAUAAAAGGUGGCUUUUAGCUACCACUUGCAGAUGGACCCGCGGCGCAUUAGCUAGUUGGUGAGGUAACGGCUCACCAAGGCGACGAUGCGUAGCCGACCUGAGAGGGUGAUCGGCCACACUGGGACUGAGACACGGCCCAGACUCCUACGGGAGGCAGCAGUAGGGAAUCUUCCGCAAUGGACGAAAGUCUGACGGAGCAACGCCGCGUGAGUGAUGAAGGUUUUCGGAUCGUAAAACUCUGUUGUUAGGGAAGAACAAGUACCGUUCGAAUAGGGCGGUACCUUGACGGUACCUAACCAGAAAGCCACGGCUAACUACGUGCCAGCAGCCGCGGUAAUACGUAGGUGGCAAGCGUUGUCCGGAAUUAUUGGGCGUAAAGCGCGCGCAGGCGGUUUCUUAAGUCUGAUGUGAAAGCCCCCGGCUCAACCGGGGAGGGUCAUUGGAAACUGGGGAACUUGAGUGCAGAAGAGGAGAGUGGAAUUCCACGUGUAGCGGUGAAAUGCGUAGAGAUGUGGAGGAACACCA